GCUCGCGCUGUUUCGCACGCAACUGUCAAGUUCUUCUCCGGCCAGGGCCGUCCGCCAUGGCUGCCAACCGUGAGCUCCGCCUCUACCUCCUUCAUGUUGCUGCGAGCCCUCCUCUUGACACGAUCCGACCAGUAGCAUACUGAUCUGGCGUUGAGAGAUGUUUCACUUAGCCCAUGAGAUCUUCCUAAUCGUCAAUAGCAGAUCCACACACGGGCCUCGGCCCAGUUCUUCCCGAUGAAGCCCGCUGCUCUGCGCGUCCAGCAGCCAGGUUCUCUCCGAUGCAGCAGCAGGCCAGGUCCGGCCCAGUUCCCUGUGCGGAGCCUUUCUUUUAUAUGUUUUGCAUGUAAUGGUUAAAUCCAUAUCUUUU
This is a long non-coding RNA of Lolium rigidum, 367 nucleotides long. RefSeq lists it as uncharacterized. The record is from RefSeq and is a predicted model, not a curated record. The transcript has 3 exons. Lineage: Eukaryota; Viridiplantae; Streptophyta; Magnoliopsida; Poales; Poaceae.